Molecule: transfer RNA, 70 nt
Filed under: Glyptonotus cf. antarcticus FK-2009
Lineage: Eukaryota; Metazoa; Arthropoda; Malacostraca; Isopoda; Chaetiliidae
Description: tRNA-Arg
Source: RNAcentral
UGUCUUAUAGCAUAAAAAGUGUAUUCAGUUUCGACCUGGAAGGUUAAAAAAUAAGAUAUUUUUGUAGUAU